GACGAACGCUGGCGGCGUGCUUAACACAUGCAAGUCGAACGGAAAGGCCCUGCUUUUGUGGGGUGCUCGAGUGGCGAACGGGUGAGUAACACGUGAGUAACCUGCCCUUGACUUUGGGAUAACUUCAGGAAACUGGGGCUAAUACCGGAUAGGAGCUCCUGCUGCAUGGUGGGGGUUGGAAAGUUUCGGCGGUUGGGGAUGGACUCGCGGCUUAUCAGCUUGUUGGUGGGGUAGUGGCUUACCAAGGUUUUGACGGGUAGCCGGCCUGAGAGGGUGACCGGCCACAUUAGGACUGAGCUACGGCCCAGACUCCUACGGGAGGCAGCAGUGGGGAAUAUUGCACAAUGGGCGGAAGCCUGAUGCAGCAACGCCGCGUGCGGGAUGACGGCCUUCGGGUUGUAAACCGCUUUCGCCUGUGACGAAGCGUGAGUGACGGUAAUGGGUAAAGAAGCACCGGCUAACUACGUG
RNAcentral lists this ribosomal RNA (468 nucleotides) under uncultured bacterium. Its description in RNAcentral is "partial 16S ribosomal RNA". It matches the Rfam family "Bacterial small subunit ribosomal RNA", at positions 28 to 507 of the family's 1533-position model. The record is from RNAcentral.